UGAGAUCUUUGAAAUCUUCCUCCUUGUUAUCUCCGCUAGAAAAGAUAAUUCAAGAAAUUGAAUGUAUGAAGUCACAAAAUCAUUUGAUCAUCAGCAAUCAAUUCUUUAAUCUUUUGAUUAUGCUUUGUUCCGGCGAGAAACUGAUUUUAUAAUUUUUUUUUCUUUGUAAAAUUUUGGAAGAGGCAGAGCAGACCAAUUGGGAUGUCGCCACGUGGGGGACUGAAAAUGCAUUGAGUGGAUGAAGUGGAUUAGUGAUCUAUCGGGCUGCCAGAAUCUUGCCAUGCCUUCAAAUGGGUAUGCUCUUGUCUAUGCUGACAGAUAUUGUUGUGUUCCAUAUAAUUCCUGACACAAAAAUGACUCUAUUGCAUCUUUUCUCCCUGUUUUCACUCUGUUUCUAAAAUAAGUAAUGAACCUUUAGUUAGGCAGGUUCAUGUUAAUUUUAUGUUAGAUUUCGAUUUCUUUCAGUAGUUUUGCCAUGAUGGCUGUGUAAUGUAUCUUGUUUUAAGAUCAACACCCAUGAUUUAGUUGUAUUCUUAUGCAUUUAAGUUCACUGUAUCAAUAACACUGAAAAACCUUUCAUCUAUUAUCGCACCAUCAGCAAGAUGAUCCAUCACAAGUUGAAGAUUCUAUAUCCGUGGGAAAUGGCCGUCGAAUGUGUCGAUCAGAUAGCUGAUGUUGAAGCUCCAUGGAAGGGCUUGAGGUGAGGAUGUUAUAUUUGCAGAAAGGAAUGUAUAUAGUGUAUGGCUUGUUUCUGGUCAAUCUUGGAUAUUCUAUGUGCAAGUGAAUGAGAUGAUGAUUUAUUAGUUGUAGGCCUGUAGUUUGCUACUCAUAACUAGAUGUAUAAUCUGAGAGGUUCUCUGUUCGCCUUUUUUAGCGACAGAUUACACCAUUCUAAACUAAUGUCUUCCUUUUUAUCUUCAUAGAACACUAGUUGAAUCGACUAAUGCUACGAUAUCAGCUAAUCAAAAUGAAAAACUUGUAUUCUUGCGAAGCAAG
Molecule: long non-coding RNA, 996 nt
Filed under: Manihot esculenta (cassava)
Lineage: Eukaryota; Viridiplantae; Streptophyta; Magnoliopsida; Malpighiales; Euphorbiaceae
Description: long non-coding RNA (MESC_LNC000995)
Source: RNAcentral